ACGCCGUUGGCGAAGCCAGGCUGUCCUAGGAAGCCGAGUGGGAGUGGCACGGAGCUGCUGGAGGUCCUGAGAACCUGAGUUUCGGCAAGCAACCAGAAUAUUUUAAAAAUGACUACACCAAACAAGACACCUCCUGGUGCUGACCCCAAGCAGUUGGAAAGGACUGGAACAGUACGGGAAAUUGGGUCACAAGCUGUUUGGUCACUCUCAUCUUGCAAACCAGGAUUUGGAGUGGAUCAGUUACGAGAUGACAAUCUAGAAACUUAUUGGCAAUCAGAUGGUUCCCAGCCUCAUUUAGUGAACAUCCAAUUCAGCAACUUGAGUUGGUGGAACCAAGUGGCUGGAUUCAUGUUCCCUUAACUGACAAUCAUAAGAAGCCAACUCGUACAUUCAUGAUACAGAUUGCUGUUCUAGCCAAUCACCAAAAUGGAAGAGACACCCAUAUGAGACAAAUUAAAAUAUACACACCGGUAGAAGAGAGCUCCAUUGGUAAAUUUCCUAGAUGUACAACUAUAGAUUUCAUGAUGUAUCGUUCAAUAAGGUGACUUUAAAAUGAGAUGAAAAUCAUUAAAUAUAUCUUUGUUUUAUCCUGUGUUUAAAUAAUAUAUCAGGUACCUUUAUUGAACAAAGCAUCUGUUAUUUGUAAUUUUGUAUAUGUUUAAAAAUAUUUUAUUGUAACUUUGACAAAUAAAUUUGGGGUCAUAUUAUCUUUAUUUUCUUUA
RNAcentral lists this small RNA (722 nucleotides) under Pongo abelii (Sumatran orangutan). Its description in RNAcentral is "processed transcript". Lineage: Eukaryota; Metazoa; Chordata; Mammalia; Primates; Hominidae. The record is from RNAcentral.